AUGACUAAUCUAAAUCUAUGUUCGUCUAGUUAUAUCAACAUACUUAGUUCGAGAACACUCAUCCACUGUAAACACUCGUUGAUAAGACGUGUAAAAAAAUCUAUUUUUAUCAUUGAGCUCGUGACGACGGGACAACGUCCGAAAGUUGAGUGAUAUAGUACAACUAGAACAACAGAAAUAACUAGUAACUCUUCUUUCGUUCUUUCCAUACGAUUUCGAAUUUAAAUAACCAACAAUACUUAACUUGUCGAUCAGUUCUUCUCUACACAAACCACUACAAAUACACGACUCAACACGAUGGCAAAUGUACUACUUAGAAAACAACAACCAAGAAUAAUCAACUUUAACAUAUACCUAACAGUUACGAAAAUUAGGGUCACGAAAAAUAACCAAAAAGUCACACGCCAAAGAUAGAGUAUAACUAUCAACUAUCUUCCCUGGAACAGUGUAAACAUCCCUCGAACGUCCACGAGACUGUAAUCUUGGCAAAACGAAACAGGCUUCUGCAGCACAAGUCAACGACCCACGGAAAGCCAAGUAACCAAAACCGUGAGCUCCUGAUAUAUCUAAAAGACUUCUUCGUUAGACGUUUAAUCAACUUCUCCACGAGACUGUAAUCUUGGCAAAACGAAACAGGCUUCUGCAGCACAAGUCAACGACCCACGGAAAGCCAAGUAACCAAAACCGUGAGUUCCUGAUAUAUCUAAAAGACUUCUUCGUUAGACGUUUAAUCAACUUCUCCAUUUCCUUAGCUUCGUUCUCCUGAACAUGAGCUAACCUUUAACACAAAGACGCGAUCUCUAUUAACUUCUCGAUAGACAAAGUCGUUUUCGUUUCCGCGACACCGAAAAGUUUACGGGUUACUUAUCACUCUAUAAGUAGUUAUGGUUCUUGGGUUCGGAAUCCGAAAAGACCAACUUCCUCCUCUAAUGACGUUACCUCUCUUGUAUUCAAGUCAGUUGUAGUUCUACGUCAUGGAAUAUAGCUACUCCUACGCCUCACCUCUUUGCUGAACGCAUCCCGAUCACUAGCGGCGAAACGUCAAGAAGAUUAAGCUUUCAUAGAGAACGGCACCUGUACCGUUCACUAUUAAGUAAAAAAACAACGGCACUUGUUUAAACUUACUACUACCGUGUACUUUUGCCAAAGCUGGUUGCGAGCUAGACUUACUCUACACCUGGCUGGCCAUAGACUUGGGAACACUUAACUACCGAUAACCAGCAUUAUUAAGGAUUUUUA
RNAcentral lists this ribosomal RNA (1239 nucleotides) under Triticum aestivum (bread wheat). RNAcentral's name for it is "partial small subunit ribosomal RNA". The record is from RNAcentral. Lineage: Eukaryota; Viridiplantae; Streptophyta; Magnoliopsida; Poales; Poaceae.